UUGCAAUCCUGAACAAAUUCAAACAAUUAACCGGCUGUUGAAAAGACGGAGCGGGUCUGUGCGACUGGUUUUAGAAGUAUCAUUGCAGCGUUUAUUUUCUAAAGGGCUGGAUGUUUUUUGCGACCAUCUGUUGUGUUAAAAACUACUCUGAAACCAUGAAACCCCUUACGGAAGAAAUUCCCGUUUGAUCCGUUUUUAAAAUAAAAGGCACGCAUCGCUGCAUGCUGGGACAUCAGAAUCACAAUAUAAGUGUGAUUAAAACACAUGUAGUUUGAAAAGAGUGAUACUGGCUGCUUUGGGGAAAAGGUGACAUCGUGUGCAACGUGUUUUAGAAGCCCAAUAACUUCUAUUUUCUAAAGGGGGUGAAUGUUAUUUGUGACCAUUUACUGUGUUAAAAAACUAGCUUGCUCCGUCUCCCUCUUAGUUCAACAUUCCGAAAUCCCGAUUUUUAAAUAAAAUGAUCGCAUCAACUCGUGAAAGAAACCCCAGUAGAUGCGUAAAAACUAGUUAGAUUAAAACUAGUGGUUGAUUAAAUGAAACUGUCAGGUUUUGCAUUGUUGAUUGUCAUUUAUGCUUAGAAAUAUCUACUCAUAUAUGCUUAGAGUUUUAUAAUUAGUUGUAGAUUGGUAGAGGUUUGAUCCUUAAUAGUCUGCAAACUUUGUGUGCAUUCCAGAGUGCUUUGGGAGCAUGGGAGAGGUUGUACCUUGUCUUAUUGUUUUAUGGUAGGAUAAAUGUGUCUAUAUCUGUUUUAGUCUAAGUGCCUUUUGUUUAGAUGGACGGCUUUGGGGAGUCUUCCUGGGGUCACAUCUUGACCCCCCACACACACAGAUACACACACACACACACAAGGUAUAGGGCUUUGGAGCGUGAUGUCACGGGAGCUGGGCCACGCCCCCUUUCGCCAUGACAGUAGGCCAGACACAGGAUACAGCUUCAGCUAUGGCAACGUGAGGGAUCCCAUGUAUCCGAUAUUACUAAACAAAGACGUCAGGCUUGCAUUGCAGCGGUGA
This 1010-nucleotide long non-coding RNA is filed under the name Oreochromis niloticus (Nile tilapia). Its description in RNAcentral is "lncRNA (ENSONIG00000033638.1)". The record is from RNAcentral. Lineage: Eukaryota; Metazoa; Chordata; Actinopteri; Cichliformes; Cichlidae.